GUUCCCGGUAGGAUCUUCCUCUUCUGGACGGUGACACGGAUGCGCCAAGAUCUCUCUUCCUGAGAAGCCUGUGCUAUCAAACUUCAGUGACCUGCUUCCAUGAGGUCGUCUCCCCAACCCGGACAUCAUCAUCCCCUCCCAAGGACUCUGACACCGAGGACCCGCCUCAGGCCCCGCAGCCCCCUGAACCACGUGUAGCUCCGCGACCAUUCUCCUUAUCUCCGCUGACCCUCCAACUUCCAACUUUGCUGGUCUAUUACUCCUCCCAGCAUCACGAGAACUACCCCUCGAAGCCCAUCCAGCUCCACCCUCCUCCAAAUCGGCCAUCCACAGGGCUCCCUCCACCGCCUCGGAGACAUUUGGGCCAAGAGCCUCUGGAUUAUCUUUGUCGCUAGCCUUUUGAUUUUGAUUUGAUAGACCCCUGGACAAGUCAACAUUCGAUUAUGGGCAUCGCUCUCUUAUUAAUAAUAUUUUAUGUUAUAUUAUAUUGUAUUAUAUAUUA
Molecule: long non-coding RNA, 502 nt
Organism: Ornithorhynchus anatinus (platypus)
Lineage: Eukaryota; Metazoa; Chordata; Mammalia; Monotremata; Ornithorhynchidae
Exons: 2
Source: RefSeq, a predicted model, not a curated record